This 253-nucleotide ribosomal RNA is filed under the name uncultured bacterium. RNAcentral describes it as "partial 16S ribosomal RNA". It matches the Rfam family "Bacterial small subunit ribosomal RNA", at positions 524 to 776 of the family's 1533-position model. The record is from RNAcentral.
UACGUAGGGUGCAAGCGUUGUCCGGAAUUAUUGGGCGUAAAGAGCUCGUAGGCGGUCUGUCGCGUCUGCUGUGAAAACUCGGGGCUUAACCCCGGGCCUGCAGUGGGUACGGGCAGACUAGAGUGCGGUAGGGGAGACUGGAAUUCCUGGUGUAGCGGUGAAAUGCGCAGAUAUCAGGAGGAACACCGGUGGCGAAGGCGGGUCUCUGGUCCGGUACUGACGCUGAGGUGCGAAAGCGUGGGGAGCAAACAGG